GCCUACGGGAGGCAGCAGUGAGGAAUAUUGCACAAUGGGGGAAACCCUGAUGCAGCGACGCCGCGUGAGCGAGGAAGGUCUUCGGAUCGUAAAGUUCUGUUGACGGGGAAAAAAGACCGGGAAAGGAAAUGAUCCCGGAGGAGAUAUUACCCGUCGAGGAAGUCACGGCUAACUACGUGCCAGCAGCCGCGGUAAUACGUAGGUGGCGAGCGUUAUCCGGAAUGAUUGGGCGUAAAGGGUGCGUAGGCGGUCGAUUAAGUCUGGAGUGAAAGGUACCGGCUCAACCGGUAUAGGCUCCGGAAACU
This 305-nucleotide ribosomal RNA is filed under the name uncultured bacterium. RNAcentral's name for it is "bacterial SSU rRNA". It matches the Rfam family "Bacterial small subunit ribosomal RNA", at positions 337 to 634 of the family's 1533-position model. The record is from RNAcentral.